UUUAAUUCGAAGCAACGCGCAGAACCUUACCAUCCCUUGACAUGUCGUGCCAUCCGGAGAGAUCCGGGGUUCCCUUCGGGGACGCGAACACAGGUGCUGCAUGGCUGUCGUCAGCUCGUGUCGUGAGAUGUUGGGUUAAGUCCCGCAACGAGCGCAACCCACGUCCUUAGUUGCCAUCAUUCAGUUGGGCACUCUAGGGAGACUGCCGGUGAUAAGCCGCGAGGAAGGUGUGGAUGACGUCAAGUCCUCAUGGCCCUUACGGGAUGGGCUACACACGUGCUGCAAUGGCGGUGACAGUGGGACGCGAAACCGCGAGGUUGAGCAAAUCCCCAAAAACCGUCUCAGUUCAGAUUGCACUCUGCAACUCGAGUGCAUGAAGGCGGAAUCGCUAGUAAUCGUGGAUCAGCAUGCCA
Molecule: ribosomal RNA, 413 nt
Filed under: uncultured bacterium
Lineage: Bacteria
Description: bacterial SSU rRNA
Rfam family: Bacterial small subunit ribosomal RNA
Source: RNAcentral